This 169-nucleotide small nuclear RNA is filed under the name Oryza sativa Japonica Group (Japanese rice). RNAcentral's name for it is "U2 spliceosomal RNA". Lineage: Eukaryota; Viridiplantae; Streptophyta; Magnoliopsida; Poales; Poaceae. The record is from RNAcentral.
AAACCAUAUAAUAAUAAUAAGAUUAAAAUAGAAUUCACCCGUUGCAACGCACGGGUAUUUUUUCUAGUAUAAAAAAAAUAAUUAUACAGAUUGCGUGCAAAAUGUGAUAUGAAUAUUUUAAGUCUAAUUGCUCCAUGAUUUGACAAUAUGGUGCUACAGUAAACAUUUA